RNAcentral lists this ribosomal RNA (397 nucleotides) under uncultured bacterium. RNAcentral's name for it is "bacterial SSU rRNA". It matches the Rfam family "Bacterial small subunit ribosomal RNA", at positions 521 to 916 of the family's 1533-position model. The record is from RNAcentral.
UAAUACGUAGGGUGCGAGCGUUAAUCGGAAUUACUGGGCGUAAAGCGUGCGCAGGCGGCGUCGCAAGUCAGGCGUGAAAUCCCCGGGCUUAACCUGGGAAUGGCGCUUGAAACUACGAUGCUGGAGUAUGGCAGAGGGAGGUGGAAUUCCACGUGUAGCGGUGAAAUGCGUAGAUAUGUGGAGGAACACCGAUGGCGAAGGCAGCCUCCUGGGCCAAUACUGACGCUCAUGCACGAAAGCGUGGGGAGCAAACAGGAUUAGAUACCCUGGUAGUCCACGCCCUAAACGAUGUCGACUAGUUGUUGGGGGAGUUAAAUCCCUUAGUAACGCAGCUAACGCGUGAAGUCGACCGCCUGGGGAGUACGGUCGCAAGAUUAAAACUCAAAGGAAUUGACGG